CCUACGGGUGGCAGCAGUGGGGGAUAUUGCACAAUGGGGGGAACCCUGAUGCAGCGACGCCGCGUGGGUGAAGGAGCGUUUCGGCGCGUAAAGCCCUAUCGGCAGGGAAGAAGGAGGACGGUACCUGACUAAGAUGCCCCGGCUAACUACGUGCCAGCAGCCGGGGUACUUCGGAGGGGGCACGGGUUAACCGGAUUUACUGGGUGUAAAGGGGGCGCAGACGGGAGCGCAAGCGAGGAGUGAAAGCCCGGGGGCCAACCACGGGACUGCUCUUGGAACUGCGCGGCUUGAGUGCAGGAGGGGCAGGCGGAAUUCCUGGUGUAGCGGUGAAAUGCGUAGAUAUCAGGAGGAACACCGAUGGCGAAGGCAGCCUGCUGGACUGCGACUGACGUUGAGGCCCGAAAGCGUGGGGAUCAAACAGGAUUAGAUACCCGGGUAGUC
RNAcentral lists this ribosomal RNA (441 nucleotides) under uncultured bacterium. RNAcentral describes it as "partial 16S ribosomal RNA". It matches the Rfam family "Bacterial small subunit ribosomal RNA", at positions 338 to 795 of the family's 1533-position model. The record is from RNAcentral.